CUUUAUGAGCACCACCUUCAUUCCGGGGCCUCUCUUGAUCCUACAGGGACCCAGUCCUGUGUGACAAUGACCAACAGGACAGGCUUCUUAUGCCAUGACCGAAGGCACUGCAUCCCAGCCCAUGGGGUGUGUGAUGGCAUUCUCACCUGUCCCUAUGGUGAGGAUGAGGAUGAACGCUUGUGCCGAGAUGUGCCCCGGAGCCUUCCCAGCUUCCUCCUGGCCUACUGUGGAGACCCAGCCUCUUGGAUCUACUCCGACCAGAAAUGUGAUGGCACCAACAACUGUGGGGACUGCUCAGAUGAAUUGAGCCCAGUGACUGCAUGCCCACCUUGUGGCCCUGGAUGGUGGAGAUGCACUCCAACUGUCUUCAAGUACUGCAGCUGUAUCCCGAGGGUGCUGUGCCAGGACCAUGUGCAGCACUGCUCUGACUGGUCAGACGAGUACGUCUGUCCUGGACCCUGAGUGAGUCUCCCUCUGCAGCCUGGGAGCUGGCGCCAGGACCUUUCAUCUGAGCAUCAAACCCUAGACCACAAGGGCAGGAAGGAACCUUUGACAUCAUCCAGCGGCUUCUCCCCAUUGCCUCUAAAUAGGAAUUACCUUUCCUCUUUUCAAGUGUCUCAGCCUCUACUUAAGCAGCUCCAAUGCCAAGGAGCACACUAUCAUGUUAGACAGCCUCUAGCAGAGAUGAGGUGAGUCUGCCUCCAUCAUUUUAGGCCCAUCAAUGGGAGCACACAGAGGAAAUAUGCUCCUUGGCUCCAGGGCAGGCCUGAAGGUUCCAAUCUUGUCACCAUUUGGAGAGACAGAUAAAUGUGGAGCUUAAAUGCCAAGCAGAGGAGUUUAGCUCCCAUGGACAGAAGACAAAGUAUGCACAUUUACCAUCCAUUUGGUGCCUAAGGCAGAACUGCUGACUUCAAAGGCUGCUGUAGUGUGUCGCUCAGCUCACCAGCAGUCCCCAACUGAUCGCAUGGACCACACAUGGUGUCCUUCUAGCUCCCCAAUCUCCUGAAGGCUUGUGGCUGUAGAAUGGGGGGCCUUCAGCCUUGGUCCUGCUUUACCUCACACUCACCUGCGGGUUUAUAUUUUGAUCCUGAAGCCAGAGUGAACCAUUUUCCUGCAAAUGGUUCUUUGCAUCACUGCACCUAGGUGGGCAGGGUUGGGUGUACUCAUUAGACAGAUGAGGAAACUGAG
Molecule: long non-coding RNA, 1188 nt
Filed under: Cricetulus griseus (Chinese hamster)
Lineage: Eukaryota; Metazoa; Chordata; Mammalia; Rodentia; Cricetidae
Description: lncRNA (ENSCGRG00000026499.1)
Source: RNAcentral